CCAGAGGAGGCAGGCGGAGGGGGGGGCUGAGGAAGGUGGAGGUUGUAGAAGGGGGAGUUUCUCCUCUCGCCGGCAAUGUCUCCCCCUCUCGUGGGGGAGCGGAGGGCGCAGGCGGCGGCGGUGGCCCGAGGGAGCGCCGCCCGCUGGCUCUAGCCCGAGGCGGCGCUGCGGCCGCCAGCAGCGGGCCGGGCUGAGGGGCCUGGCCGCCCGCCGCGGCGGGGCUCCACGCAGGGCCGGCCGGAGCCGCGGCGACGGAGGGAAAGGGGUCGGGACUUGAGGGGGUGCCCUCUCUCGGCCCGGCUCUGCUCGCCCUCAGGCUUGAGGGCCGCCCUGGGUGGGGAAGGGCCUAUUGGCCUUCGUCCCUCGCACUGGGUGCUCAUCGAUGGUGGACCUGGAGCGCUGACAGACAGCAGGGCUCAAAUCUACUGCCUGGCUGUUGUCACCAUCCAGUGACCUCUCUACCGAUGCCGUAAAACAAGACUUGGAGGAAUGAAGUGCUCCUGAUGGUGACAGGAACAUGGCAAGGCUGGUUCGUGGCAACAUAAUUAAAAUCAAGCAUUCUUCAUAGCCCAUCUUGAGGAAAAAUGAUACAUCCAAAUGUCCUGACACAAGAACAGUAGAGAUGCGCUGCCUUGGAAAGAGGCACUGGAGUCCAGCUGUCCAUAAGCUUGCAGUGAGCAAGUAGGACAGGAAGGCAAAAGCUGUUGCAACAGUACAGAUUUUCCAGAAUGGCUUUGGAGAUACUGUUGGAAUAGCCGACAUCCUGCAGAUAAGAAACAAAUAAAUCUGGAAGCCUAAGGGAUACUGAAUUGCAUGGAAGAAAAUAAGCAAGGAUAUUACAACUGGCGCAACAGUCCUGAUGAAGCCAGACAUACGUAGUCAAACUUACACCAGCAGGUUUCUUAAAAACAGAGUUGAGAAAAACUACUGGUUGCUGCAGAUGAGAUUGAGAUAAGGAACAGGACCUUAGGCAGCAUAAAGAUAGUAACAUUUUCUGCUUCAAUGAAUAAGACAAUGCUAAAGCAUUAGUUGUUUUAAAAUAAACUGGUCUUUAUAGAAAGGGAUUCUCUUUUCUAUAAUGUGUAUGUAUUAAAUAUUCAAAGCAGAAUAUGGAAAGAGCAGAGUUAUCUACAGUGGCUUUUACUGACAAAAGACCCGAUUCAAGAAAACCUUUAAGACAUGCUUAUAAGAUCAGUCCUAUUCAUGGCAUCACUUAGUCUAAAAUAUAACUUGAAACAACUGCAAAGCUAAGCAUGUGUUUAAGUGUUGUUUGAAUAAAUAUGACUUCACAAAUCAUAAGAAAAUAGAUGAAGAUGAAUCAGUAAAAAGAAAUGUGAAAUGUUAAUGUGCAAGUAAGUGUGCGAAAAAUGUAUUUACAAUAAAGGGAAAAUUGAGGGAAAAGUAAAACCUCAUCCACCCUUUCUCAAGGCAAAUCUGAAUUUUG
This is a long non-coding RNA of Chroicocephalus ridibundus (black-headed gull), 1444 nucleotides long. RefSeq lists it as uncharacterized. NCBI's taxonomy places the organism in Eukaryota, Metazoa, Chordata, Aves, Charadriiformes, Laridae. The transcript is spliced from 4 exons. The record is from RefSeq and is a predicted model, not a curated record.